CCGGAGCAGAGAGAAGAGGGGAGACAUUUCGUCAGAGCUGCAAGAUUUAGCCCGUUUCUUGCAAAUAGUUAAUUAAAAGUUCUAAAAAAUCAGCUCUACAGGUGUUCACCACUCCAGUACCCAAUUAGGGUGACAAAUUCCCUGUUUUCCAGUGAAACAAGCUGGUUUUGGUCAGGUUUUUUUCCUUUUCUGAACUUUAGUCUCUCUUGCUGCUCGUGUUACAACCGAGUGUGAGCGAACCAGACAUCAGAUGGCGAGCCAACCCGAGGAUAUUGUGCCUGUUAAGCUAACUUGAACCUGUUCCUCCUGUACGGUAGGAUCUGGAUCGAAUUGAGUUUUUGGAGUAAUUGAGUUGUUUUUGGAGUUGAAUGGAACAUUUUUGAUGUAUAUAUACCUGAUCUGAAAGAAAAAAAGGAACAUUUAUUUUGAAGAGAAAGAGGAUCUUAUUUUUCCAACUGUUCCUACAUAUUUUUUUGCCUCAGAACAUUUAAGGUCACAAUUUUUCUAAGAACAUUGAGUGAUUCUGAAUAGACUGAGUCAAGGAUCUUAUUUUUUUUUAUUUUGUAUAUUGGUCUAAAGCAGUGGUUCUCAAACUGUGGUACGCGUACCACUGGUGGUACGUGAAGCAGCACGAGGUGGUACGCCAGAUAAUCUCGGAAAAGUAAAAAUAUUUAUAUGCACCGAAAAAAUUAAUAAUUUAAUAAUAAUAAAUAAAUAAAAAUAUGAUACAAAA
Molecule: long non-coding RNA, 733 nt
Organism: Trichomycterus rosablanca
Lineage: Eukaryota; Metazoa; Chordata; Actinopteri; Siluriformes; Trichomycteridae
Exons: 2
Source: RefSeq, a predicted model, not a curated record